Molecule: ribosomal RNA, 276 nt
Filed under: uncultured bacterium
Lineage: Bacteria
Also listed under: 1 other name
Description: partial 16S ribosomal RNA
Rfam family: Bacterial small subunit ribosomal RNA
Source: RNAcentral
GUGCCUAACACAUGCAAGUCGAACGAGAAAGGGGAGCAAUCCCUGAGUAAAGUGGCGACCGGGUGAGUAACACGUGACUAACCUACCCUUGAGUGGGGGAUAACCUCGGGAAACCGGGGCUAAUACCGCAUAAUGCCUUUGGGUUAAAGGAGCAAUUCGCUUAAGGAGGGGGUCGCGGCCGAUUAGGUAGUUGGCGGGGUAACGGCCCACCAAGCCCGUGAUCGGUAGCCGGCCUGAGAGGGCGCACGGCCACACUGGAACUGAAACACGGUCCAG